RNAcentral lists this ribosomal RNA (552 nucleotides) under Capitulum mitella. Its description in RNAcentral is "SSU rRNA". It matches the Rfam family "Eukaryotic small subunit ribosomal RNA", at positions 453 to 966 of the family's 1831-position model. The record is from RNAcentral. Lineage: Eukaryota; Metazoa; Arthropoda; Thecostraca; Pollicipedomorpha; Pollicipedidae.
AGUUCAGGGAGGUAGUGACAAUAAAUACCUUACAGAGGUCUCGUUAACCGUGAUCUCUCAAACGGAAUGAGUACAACGUGAAUCCUUUAACGAGGAUCGACUGGAGGGCAAGCCUGGUGCCAGCAGCCGCGGUAAUUCCAGCUCCAGUAGCGUAUAUUAAAGCUGUUGCGGUUAAAAAGCUCGUAGUUGGAUAUCAGUGCGUGUCCGGUCCGGUAUGCCCGGCGUUGGCCUUCGCGCGUCGUCGCUGGGCUCCCAAAUAUCGGCUGGCCGCAUUCAAUGGUGCCGGAUCCGUCGCCGGGCCGUUCUUCGGAGGGGCCUGCUGGCGACCGGCGACGUUACCUUGAACAAAUUAGAGUGCUCAAAGCAGGCUCUGAAUGCCUGUAUACAUAUUCAUGGAAUUGGAGAAUACGUCCCUGGCUCGAUUUGGUUGGUUUUGAGAGUCGAAGGGAAAUGAUUAAUAGGGACUGACGGAGGCAUUCGUAUUGCGACGCGAGGGGUGAAAUCCUGUGACCGUCGCACGACGAACUACUGCGAAAGCAUUUGCCGAGAAUG